UGACCUACCUAACGUAGGUGCCAAGAAGCUUGAUGGUUCAUAACUGAGAUCUCAAAUUUAAAGUCUAAUUACUUUAUAUUUUCAAGUAAGUCUAUUUAAAAAAUGAACGACACAGAGAAGAUGCUAUUUUUCUCUCAAAAAAAUAAAAUUAAAAAAAUCUCUCUCUCCUUCACGUGCUCUUUUUUUUUUUUUUUUUUUUUUUGCUCUUCAUCUCUCUCUUCCUUUUUCACCACUUCAUCCUAAUUCAGAACUUGACAACUAAAUUGGCUACUAACUCAUCGCUCUAUUUUGAAAAACAUUUUUGCGGACACUGAUCAAACUGAAAUAGAAAUUGAACUUUAAUAUCGUGUCGAUAUCUUGUUGGUACGACACGGUAUAAUAAAUACAGCAUGUACUAAUAUACACUUAAAUUCUUGAUAUAAAUCUCUCGUUUCAACAUAAGUA
RNAcentral lists this long non-coding RNA (444 nucleotides) under Ananas comosus (pineapple). RNAcentral describes it as "long non-coding RNA (ACOM_LNC024532)". The record is from RNAcentral. Lineage: Eukaryota; Viridiplantae; Streptophyta; Magnoliopsida; Poales; Bromeliaceae.